This 658-nucleotide ribosomal RNA is filed under the name uncultured rumen bacterium. Its description in RNAcentral is "bacterial SSU rRNA". It matches the Rfam family "Bacterial small subunit ribosomal RNA", at positions 34 to 690 of the family's 1533-position model. The record is from RNAcentral.
CGCUGGCGGCGUGCCUAACACAUGCAAGUCGAGCGGAGCCAUCUUGAAGAUCCCUUCGGGGUGAUUCAGGGGAAGCUUAGCGGCGGACGGGUGAGUAACGCGUGAGUAACCUGCCCAUUAGUGGGGAAUAACACAGAGAAAUUUGUGCUAAUACCGCAUACCGAUUACGGAAGGCAUCUUCUGUAAUUGAAAGAUUUAUCGCUAAUGGAUGGACUCGCGUCUGAUUAGAUAGUAGGCGGGGUAACGGCCCACCUAGUCGACGAUCAGUAGCCGAACUGAGAGGUUGAUCGGCCACAUUGGGACUGAGACACGGCCCAGACUCCUACGGGAGGCAGCAGUGGGGGAUAUUGCGCAAUGGGGGAAACCCUGACGCAGCAACGCCGCGUGCAGGAAGACGGCCUUCGGGUUGUAAACUGUUGUCGCAAGGGAAGAAUAAAGUGACGGUACCUUGUGAGAAAGCCACGGCUAACUACGUGCCAGCAGCCGCGGUAAUACGUAGGUGGCAAGCGUUGUCCGGAUCUACUGGGUGUAAAGGGCGCGUANGCGGGCUUUCAAGUCAGAUGUGAAAUUACGAGGCUUAACCUCGGGGCUGCAUUUGAAACUGUUAAUCUUGAGUAUCGGAGAGGAAAGCGGAAUCCUAGUGUAGCGGUGAAAUGCG